Molecule: ribosomal RNA, 2925 nt
Filed under: Escherichia coli
Lineage: Bacteria; Pseudomonadati; Pseudomonadota; Gammaproteobacteria; Enterobacterales; Enterobacteriaceae
Description: 23S ribosomal RNA
Rfam family: Bacterial large subunit ribosomal RNA
Source: RNAcentral
GGGUUGUGAGGUUAAGCGACUAAGCGUACACGGUGGAUGCCCUGGCAGUCAGAGGCGAUGAAGGACGUGCUAAUCUGCGAUAAGCGUCGGUAAGGUGAUAUGAACCGUUAUAACCGGCGAUUUCCGAAUGGGGAAACCCAGUGUGAUUCGUCACACUAUCAUUAACUGAAUCCAUAGGUUAAUGAGGCGAACCGGGGGAACUGAAACAUCUAAGUACCCCGAGGAAAAGAAAUCAACCGAGAUUCCCCCAGUAGCGGCGAGCGAACGGGGAGCAGCCCAGAGCCUGAAUCAGUGUGUGUGUUAGUGGAAGCGUCUGGAAAGGCGCGCGAUACAGGGUGACAGCCCCGUACACAAAAAUGCACAUGCUGUGAGCUCGAUGAGUAGGGCGGGACACGUGGUAUCCUGUCUGAAUAUGGGGGGACCAUCCUCCAAGGCUAAAUACUCCUGACUGACCGAUAGUGAACCAGUACCGUGAGGGAAAGGCGAAAAGAACCCCGGCGAGGGGAGUGAAAAAGAACCUGAAACCGUGUACGUACAAGCAGUGGGAGCACGCUUAGGCGUGUGACUGCGUACCUUUUGUAUAAUGGGUCAGCGACUUAUAUUCUGUAGCAAGGUUAACCGAAUAGGGGAGCCGAAGGGAAACCGAGUCUUAACUGGGCGUUAAGUUGCAGGGUAUAGACCCGAAACCCGGUGAUCUAGCCAUGGGCAGGUUGAAGGUUGGGUAACACUAACUGGAGGACCGAACCGACUAAUGUUGAAAAAUUAGCGGAUGACUUGUGGCUGGGGGUGAAAGGCCAAUCAAACCGGGAGAUAGCUGGUUCUCCCCGAAAGCUAUUUAGGUAGCGCCUCGUGAAUUCAUCUCCGGGGGUAGAGCACUGUUUCGGCAAGGGGGUCAUCCCGACUUACCAACCCGAUGCAAACUGCGAAUACCGGAGAAUGUUAUCACGGGAGACACACGGCGGGUGCUAACGUCCGUCGUGAAGAGGGAAACAACCCAGACCGCCAGCUAAGGUCCCAAAGUCAUGGUUAAGUGGGAAACGAUGUGGGAAGGCCCAGACAGCCAGGAUGUUGGCUUAGAAGCAGCCAUCAUUUAAAGAAAGCGUAAUAGCUCACUGGUCGAGUCGGCCUGCGCGGAAGAUGUAACGGGGCUAAACCAUGCACCGAAGCUGCGGCAGCGACGCUUAUGCGUUGUUGGGUAGGGGAGCGUUCUGUAAGCCUGUGAAGGUGUACUGUGAGGUAUGCUGGAGGUAUCAGAAGUGCGAAUGCUGACAUAAGUAACGAUAAAGCGGGUGAAAAGCCCGCUCGCCGGAAGACCAAGGGUUCCUGUCCAACGUUAAUCGGGGCAGGGUGAGUCGACCCCUAAGGCGAGGCCGAAAGGCGUAGUCGAUGGGAAACAGGUUAAUAUUCCUGUACUUGGUGUUACUGCGAAGGGGGGACGGAGAAGGCUAUGUUGGCCGGGCGACGGUUGUCCCGGUUUAAGCGUGUAGGCUGGUUUUCCAGGCAAAUCCGGAAAAUCAAGGCUGAGGCGUGAUGACGAGGCACUACGGUGCUGAAGCAACAAAUGCCCUGCUUCCAGGAAAAGCCUCUAAGCAUCAGGUAACAUCAAAUCGUACCCCAAACCGACACAGGUGGUCAGGUAGAGAAUACCAAGGCGCUUGAGAGAACUCGGGUGAAGGAACUAGGCAAAAUGGUGCCGUAACUUCGGGAGAAGGCACGCUGAUAUGUAGGUGAAGUCCCUCGCGGAUGGAGCUGAAAUCAGUCGAAGAUACCAGCUGGCUGCAACUGUUUAUUAAAAACACAGCACUGUGCAAACACGAAAGUGGACGUAUACGGUGUGACGCCUGCCCGGUGCCGGAAGGUUAAUUGAUGGGGUUAGCGCAAGCGAAGCUCUUGAUCGAAGCCCCGGUAAACGGCGGCCGUAACUAUAACGGUCCUAAGGUAGCGAAAUUCCUUGUCGGGUAAGUUCCGACCUGCACGAAUGGCGUAAUGAUGGCCAGGCUGUCUCCACCCGAGACUCAGUGAAAUUGAACUCGCUGUGAAGAUGCAGUGUACCCGCGGCAAGACGGAAAGACCCCGUGAACCUUUACUAUAGCUUGACACUGAACAUUGAGCCUUGAUGUGUAGGAUAGGUGGGAGGCUUUGAAGUGUGGACGCCAGUCUGCAUGGAGCCGACCUUGAAAUACCACCCUUUAAUGUUUGAUGUUCUAACGUUGACCCGUAAUCCGGGUUGCGGACAGUGUCUGGUGGGUAGUUUGACUGGGGCGGUCUCCUCCUAAAGAGUAACGGAGGAGCACGAAGGUUGGCUAAUCCUGGUCGGACAUCAGGAGGUUAGUGCAAUGGCAUAAGCCAGCUUGACUGCGAGCGUGACGGCGCGAGCAGGUGCGAAAGCAGGUCAUAGUGAUCCGGUGGUUCUGAAUGGAAGGGCCAUCGCUCAACGGAUAAAAGGUACUCCGGGGAUAACAGGCUGAUACCGCCCAAGAGUUCAUAUCGACGGCGGUGUUUGGCACCUCGAUGUCGGCUCAUCACAUCCUGGGGCUGAAGUAGGUCCCAAGGGUAUGGCUGUUCGCCAUUUAAAGUGGUACGCGAGCUGGGUUUAGAACGUCGUGAGACAGUUCGGUCCCUAUCUGCCGUGGGCGCUGGAGAAUUGAGGGGGGCUGCUCCUAGUACGAGAGGACCGGAGUGGACGCAUCACUGGUGUUCGGGUUGUCAUGCCAAUGGCACUGCCCGGUAGCUAAAUGCGGAAGAGAUAAGUGCUGAAAGCAUCUAAGCACGAAACUUGCCCCGAGAUGAGUUCUCCCUGACUCCUUGAGAGUCCUGAAGGAACGUUGAAGACGACGACGUUGAUAGGCCGGGUGUGUAAGCGCAGCGAUGCGUUGAGCUAACCGGUACUAAUGAACCGUGAGGCUUAACCUUACAACGCCGAAG